RNAcentral lists this ribosomal RNA (474 nucleotides) under uncultured bacterium. RNAcentral's name for it is "partial 16S ribosomal RNA". It matches the Rfam family "Bacterial small subunit ribosomal RNA", at positions 29 to 523 of the family's 1533-position model. The record is from RNAcentral.
AGUGAUCAUUGGCGGCGGGCUUAACACAUGCAAGUCGAGCGAGGCUACGAGCCGAGCGGCGAACGGGUGAGUAAUACUUGGGAAUCUGCCCUGGAGUGGGGGAUAACAGCCAGAAAUGGCUGCUAACACCGCAUAAUCCAUAUUGGGAAAACGUUUAGUGCUCUAGGAUGAGCCCAAGUCUGAUUAGCUAGUUGGUGGGGUAAAGGCCUACCAAGGCGACGAUCAGUAGCUGGUUUGAGAGGAUGACCAGCCACACUGGAACUGAGACACGGUCCAGACUCCUACGGGAGGCAGCAGUGGGGAAUCUUGGACAAUGGGGGCAACCCUGAUCCAGCCAUGCCGCGUGUGCGAUGAAGGCCCUCGGGUUGUAAAGCACUUUUGGCGGGGAGGAGGCUCUUUUGGUUAAUACCCAAGAUGAGUGGACGUUACUCGCAGAAUAAGCACCGGCUAACUCUGUGCCAGCCGCCGCGGUAA